Molecule: transfer RNA, 64 nt
Filed under: Phyllidiella pustulosa
Lineage: Eukaryota; Metazoa; Mollusca; Gastropoda; Nudibranchia; Phyllidiidae
Also listed under: 1 other name
Description: tRNA-Val
Source: RNAcentral
AAAGAUAAAGUAUAAUUUUUUACGUUUCAGUUACAUUGAAGAAAUCCGAAUGAAGGUGUCUUUA